Marmota monax (woodchuck) is the source of this 2027-nucleotide long non-coding RNA. RefSeq lists it as uncharacterized. NCBI's taxonomy places the organism in Eukaryota, Metazoa, Chordata, Mammalia, Rodentia, Sciuridae. The record is from RefSeq and is a predicted model, not a curated record. The transcript is spliced from 4 exons.
UCAGGGAAGGUGGGGACGCCCAGCGCGGUAGGUGGCCAGGGUCAAUGGAGGGAAGGGGGCGGAGCUGAUCCCUGAGGAGCAGCUGCGGGCCCACCCCGGCGGGUCCAGCGACCCCUCUGUCCAGACCACCUGUUCCAGAGCAGCCUUCAGGGUCUUGAUGCACAAACGCUCCUCCUUAAGGUGCACGGAGCCGCUGCCCUGGGAAGCCGCGUGCGGGGGAGUCAGCUAUUCUGACCGGGAGCGGGGAGGUUCUGGCUGCCAGGCUCCAAACAGCCCUCACUGGUAGCCUGAGGCGGUUUGCAGAAGCCGGAUCGUGCCUGUCAUCGGGGAGCACCCCCUGCAAAGCCUGAGGGAGCACCCCGAACUCCGGGGCGCACGCUCCUCCCCACCGGAGAAGCGCCAGCCUCUGAGCGGCCCCAGACUGGGGGCCUGAAGCAGGAGGAUUGCUAGUUCCAGGCCAGCCUCAGCAACUCAGUGAGGACCUUUCUCAAUAUUAAAAGACACUCACUGGGUUGCCCCCUGACCUCAGUGCGCCUGCCUCAGUCUCCUGAGUCGUGGGACCACAGAUGCACCCUCAUGCCUGACCUGGCUGGUCGGCUUGAAGUAAUCUUUACAGUUGAAGCCUUCUCGAAUGUCCUGACUUGAUGCUCCAUCCCCUGGAAUCGUGGGUAGUGGACAACGCUUGCUUUGGGUGACCCCAGGAGCAGUGCUAGGGAGGGAGGGUCCCCUGGGGGCCGCUGUGAGGAAGGGCAGGUGCUGACAGGAGGCACCAGGGAGCCCACACUGGGUGGAGCCUGGGGGCUGUCCCAUGAGCCCCUGGUGUGGGGCUCAGGGGGGCUCCUGUGAGCUGCCUGUGGCAGAGAGCUGGGACUGGAGGCAGCUGCAGGAGACGAGUGCCUUCAGGAAGGAGGAGGGGUGUUUAGGGAAGAGGUUUAGGACAGCUGAGGCUUUGCCAAAUGUGGUCAAGUGUGCAUGACGACCAAUGCAGGGCUUCAGCCAUUUGUAAGACCAGCCAUGGCUUCAACGGGCUGCUGUGCUGUGUGGGCCUGGCCACCACCGGGCUCCAGAACUUGCUUGACAUCUCCAACCAAAACUCCCUUCCCGUCAAACUUCAGCUCCUUCCCUGCACCCGCCCUCUGCCCUCCCUUCUGGCUGUGUUCCUGGUCCGCUGUGAGGGAGGCGCUCUGCACAGGUCCUUCAGGUCUGGCUCACCUCACCAGCAGGGCAGUUACCGCUCACCCUGUCGCAGGGAGUCAGGAUUUCCUUCCCCAUCAGGGCUGCUUAACGCUCCCUUGCUGGGAGGACCACGUGUGCCACCCCCCGCCCACUGAGGGGCCCGGAGGUUGCUUCCAGGCCCUGGUGGUGUGAGCAGUGCUGCUGUGGAUGUCCGUGUGCAGAUGGAACAGCUGGUGCAGGAUGAAGUGACGGUGCACUUUGUUUUCAAGCUGUCAGGAGAGGGCAGGUGUGCAGACAAGGAGGUGUGGAAUGUCAUGGUGCCCCGAGCAUGUGCGUGACGGGAGGCGUGGGUCUGAGUUACAUGUGGGCAAACUGCACGGGAUCCAUGAGAUCGCCCCAGGAUUCAAAUAGGCGUGUUGGGGCUAAGUGCUGCCAGGUGGGGUGGGGGCUGGAUCCUGCUGGCAGAGGCCCUGAGGCCCAGGAGGGGAGGGUCUACUAGAGGAUCAGGGCCUGCUCUUGGCCUCUGCCCUAGUGGGUGUCCGUCUCCUAACAGGGGGCUUCCUGUGCAACUCUGUGUCCUCCAGAGGUGGGUGUCCAUCUCUUAACAGGGGUGCUUCCAUGGACCUCACUCAAUACGGACUGUGGCGUACACAAUGGGCGUGAAAGUGCACACAGUUGGUGCUCCAUGGUCACGCCAAGUUGCCCAAUUUGACCUUGCACCUGCCAUCCUCCAGCCCCAGCCUCCCAAGUGGCGGGGAUUACAGGCGUGCACCACGACACCUGGAAGUCCAUCUGUUCUUUCUUAAUAGUUUCAUGUUGCUGAAUGUUAUUAAAGCGAACAUUAAAAACGA